GCAAAUUCCACUCCAGUCCUUCGCCUUCUUCUUCAGUCGGUUCGGCGCCUCCCAUGGAAAACGGCACCCCAAGCGCACGUUAGCGCAGACCGCCCCUUUUCUUCCCUGCACUUGCACGGCUUAAAUCAUUAAAGCCUGGACAACGAAAUCUUCUGUCGUUUUUCGUCCGAUACUACAAUCUCCGAUUCGGCCCGCUCCCGUGGAGAGAAUCAUCCCCACUGGCGCACGUUAGCAGGUACCGUCCUUUCCGUUCCUCUCCGCAGCUUCAGAUCGUUUCUGACGCAUUUGUGCGACUGGAACGAAAGCGAAGGAAGAAGUGGAAAGGCUAAUAUUGUCAGGGCAUGUGGGGACGCCCAAUUCUGCGUGAUUCUUCUUCCAUGCACAAACGGUUGUCAUCGAGGGAGGGCAUGGAUCUACUAGACAGAGAAGGUAAUUCAGAACGUUCACAGAAUGGCAUGGGGCAAGAAGGUACACACCCUUCUUGGAGACUCUCUUUGCCGCAUGUCUGUGUAGCUACCAUUUCUUCAUUCUUAUUUGGUUACCACAUUGGAGUUGUUAACGAGCCACUUGAAAGCAUUGCUUUAGAUCUUGGGUUUGGUGGGAAUACUUUGGCUGAAGGUCUUGUUGUUAGUAUUUGUUUGGGUGGUGCCUUUGUUGGAUGUCUUCUUAGUGGUUGGAUUGCUGAUGGGAUUGGACGUCGUAGGGCUUUCCAGUUGAGUGCUUUGCCAAUGAUUAUUGGGGCUUCUCUCAGUGCAACAACAAAAAAUUUGGAGGGUAUGCUACUUGGGAGGUUGUUUGUUGGAAUAGGAAUGGGCCUUGGACCACCUGUUGCAUCUCUUUAUGUGACAGAGGUUUCACCUUCUUUUGUGAGGGGUACUUAUGGAAGCUUUAUUCAAAUUGCAACAUGUCUGGGAAUUAUAGGGGCUCUUUUUAUUGGAAUCCUGACAAAGGAGAUUUUGGGUUGGUGGCGUGUGUGUUUCUGGGUUUCUGCCAUUCCUGCUGCAAUACUUGCUGUUGGCAUGGAGUUCUGUGCAGAGAGUCCUCACUGGCUUUAUAAGCAAGGAAAAUGUGUUGAAGCUGAAGCUGAAUUUGAGAGGCUCUUGGGAGGAUCACAUGUCAAAUCUGCGAUGACGGAGCUAUCACGGUCAGACAGAGGGGAUGACGUGGAAAGUGUACGGUUUUCAGAUCUAAUUUAUGGUCGCAAUUUCAGAGUUGUUUUUAUUGGAUCAACACUAUUUGCUUUACAGCAGUUAUCUGGUAUAAAUGCUGUAUUCUAUUUCUCUUCGGCCGUCUUUAAGAGUGCAGGAGUACCUUCAGAUGUGGCAAACAUGUGUGUAGGAUUUGCAAAUUUAUUGGGAUCAAUUGUUGCAAUGCUUUUGAUGGAUAAACUAGGAAGGAGGGUACUUCUUCUGGGGAGCUUCAUGGGCAUGGCGGUAGCAAUGGGCCUACAGGUCACUGCAGCAACUCUUCAUUAUCAAGCAUCUGGAGCUUUGUAUCUGUCUGUUGGUGGAAUGUUAUUGUUUGUCCUGACAUUUGCACUGGGAGCUGGUCCAGUCCCUGCCCUUCUCUUACCAGAAAUUUUUCCCAGCCGGAUUCGAGCAAAAGCUAUGGCAAUCUGCAUGUGCGUGCAUUGGGUUGUGAAUUUCUUUGUUGGUUUGCUGUUCUUGCGCUUGCUGGAACAACUCGGACCGCAGAUCUUGUACUCGAUAUUUUCUUCCUUUUGCUUGAUGGCAGUGUUCUUUGUGAAAAGGAACGUGGUUGAGACCAAAGGAAAGUCUCUCCAGGAAAUCGAGAUUGCACUUCUACCGUCAGAAUAGAGUUUUUUACCCCCCUCAUGGACAGCUUCAAGUGUUCAGGCUAUAUGCAGCAUCUGAGGAUUCUACUAAACUACAGAUCAUCUGUCCAUCUGUCUGGAGCUGAUGGGGCCAAACUAAAUAUCUUGCCUGUUGUACCCACUUGCAUCCUUUUCCAUCAGACUCUAUCCUUUCACACCAGACUCAGGGUGCAGCUUGGGCGGAUCGGGUCAGGUUGAAGGUCGACCCAAGCUCAACCUAACCUCAAGAGGAAGAAAUAACGACUUCUCGACCCAAACAAAAUUCUGGUUGGGGUGGGUUAACGCAUAAAAUUAAACAUCUAACCAUCAAAUAACAACAUUAAAAUAGCACUUGCAACCAAGACCGUAAUGACCCCCACCCCCACCGUUACUUGUAUUAUUUGGGCUGUAAUGGCCGUUACGUUCUCAUUUCUUUAUUGAAAGAAAUCCGAAAAACCU
Molecule: RNA transcript, 2272 nt
Organism: Magnolia sinica
Lineage: Eukaryota; Viridiplantae; Streptophyta; Magnoliopsida; Magnoliales; Magnoliaceae
Gene name: probable plastidic glucose transporter 2
Exons: 16
Source: RefSeq, a predicted model, not a curated record